CUAAUGCCGGAUAUUGUGUCCUACUGCAUAGUAGGUUAACGAAAGAUUUAUCGUUGUGGGAUGAGCUUGCGUCCGAUUAGCUAGUUGGCGGGGUAAUAGCCCACCAAGGCGACGAUCGGUAGCCGGCCUGAGAGGGUGAUCGGCCACAUUGGGACUGANANACGGCCCANACUCCUGCGGGAGGCAGCAGUAGGGAAUAUUGCGCAAUGGGGGGAACCCUGACGCANCAUCGCCACGUGUGGGAAGAAGCAUUUCGGUGUGUAAACNACUGUCGGAAAGGAAUAACGGAAGACUUCNGUCUNUAUGAAUGUUNCUUUNANAGGAAGCACC
RNAcentral lists this ribosomal RNA (330 nucleotides) under uncultured Fibrobacter sp. RNAcentral describes it as "partial 16S ribosomal RNA". It matches the Rfam family "Bacterial small subunit ribosomal RNA", at positions 163 to 494 of the family's 1533-position model. The record is from RNAcentral. Lineage: Bacteria; Pseudomonadati; Fibrobacterota; Fibrobacteria; Fibrobacterales; Fibrobacteraceae.